GAUGAACGCUGGCGGCGUGCUUAAUACAUGCAAGUCGAGCGAACAGACGAGGAGCUUGCUCCUCUGACGUUAGCGGCGGACGGGUGAGUAACACGUGGAUAACCUACCUAUCAGACUGGGAUGACUUCGGGAAACCGGAGCUAAUACCGGAUAACAUGUUGAACCGCAUGGUUCAACAGUGAAAGACGGUCUUGCUGUCACUUUUAGAUGGAUCCGCGCCGCAUUAGCUAGUUGGUAAGGUAACGGGUUACCAAGGCAACGAUGCGUAGCCGACCUGAGGGGGUGAUCGGCCACACUGGAACUGAGACACGGUCCAGACUCCUACGGGAGGCAGCAGUAGGGAAUGUUCCGCAAUGGGCGAAAGCCUGACGGAGCGACGCCGCGUGAGUGAAGAAGGUCUUCGGAUCGUAAAACUCUGUUAUUAGGGAAGAACAAAUGUGUAAGUAACUAUGCACGUCUUGACGGUACCUAAUCAGAAAGCCACGGCUAACUACGUG
RNAcentral lists this ribosomal RNA (497 nucleotides) under uncultured bacterium. RNAcentral describes it as "partial 16S ribosomal RNA". It matches the Rfam family "Bacterial small subunit ribosomal RNA", at positions 28 to 507 of the family's 1533-position model. The record is from RNAcentral.